Molecule: small RNA, 4778 nt
Filed under: Pan troglodytes (chimpanzee)
Lineage: Eukaryota; Metazoa; Chordata; Mammalia; Primates; Hominidae
Description: retained intron
Source: RNAcentral
CCAAGAGCUACUUGGAGCUGCUUCAUAUUUUCUCCAUCCUCAUCGGGCAGAAGAAACUGGAGCUGAAAACUGCCAAGAACCGCAUGAAGAGCGGCCUCGACAAGCUGCUGCGCACUUCUGAGGAUGUAGCCAAGAUGCAGGAGGACCUGGAGAGUAUGCACCCCCUGCUGGAGGAGGCUGCCAAGGACACCAUGCUCACCAUGGAGCAGAUCAAGGUGGAUACGGCCAUCGCCGAGGAGACCCGGAAUUCAGUGCAGACAGAGGAGAUCAAAGCCAAUGAGAAGGCCAAGAAGGCACAAGCUAUUGCUGACGAUGCCCAGAAGGACCUGGACGAGGCGUUGCCAGCCCUGAAUGCUGCUCUGGCCAGCCUGCGCAACCUCAACAAGAACGAUGUGACCGAGGUACGUGCCAUGCAGCGGCCACCCCCGGGUGUGAAACUGGUCAUAGAAGCUGUGUGCAUCAUGAAAGGCAUCAAGCCCAAGAAGGUGCCUGGAGAAAAGCCAGGCACCAAGGUGGAUGACUACUGGGAGCCUGGCAAGGGGCUGCUGCAGGACCCGGGCCACUUCCUUGAGAGCCUCUUCAAGUUUGACAAGGACAACAUUGGGGAUGUGGUGAUCAAAGCCAUCCAGCCGUACAUCGAUAAUGAAGAGUUCCAGCCAGCCGCCAUUGCCAAGGUGUCCAAGGCUUGCACCUCCAUCUGCCAGUGGGUGCGCGCCAUGCACAAGUACCACUUUGUGGCCAAGGCCGUGGAGCCUAAGCGGCAAGCCCUGCUGGAGGCCCAGGACGACCUGGGGGUGACACAGAGGAUCCUGGAUGAGGCAAAACAGCGCCUUCGUGAGGUGGAGGACGGCAUCGCCACAAUGCAGGCUAAGUACCGGGAAUGCAUUACCAAGAAGGAGGAGCUGGAGCUGAAGUGUGAGCAGUGUGAGCAGCGGCUGGGCCGAGCUGGCAAGGUGCGCACCCUCCUCCUGCAAGGCGUGCAAGCGGGCCCGGCCCAGACAGGGGCCAGAAAGGACCAGGGCGCCGGUGGGUCCUGGGGUGGCUGUCCACACCCCCUCCCUGGCAACCCCAGGUGCCACAGUGGGUAGGGCCAGCCCCAGGCCCCUAGCCCAGCCUCCCAGAGCCCACCCCACGGGGCUGCCCCUCCAGCUCAUCAACGGGCUGUCGGAUGAGAAGGUGCGCUGGCAGGAGACGGUGGAGAACCUGCAGUACAUGCUCAACAACAUCUCCGGCGAUGUCCUGGUGGCCGCUGGCUUUGUGGCCUACCUGGGCCCCUUCACGGGCCAGUACCGCACGGUGCUCUACGACAGCUGGGUCAAGCAGCUCAGGAGCCACAAUGUCCCACACACCUCCGAGCCCACGCUAAUCGGGACGCUGGGGAACCCUGUGAAGAUCCGAUCGUGGCAGAUCGCUGGCCUCCCCAACGACACACUGUCAGUGGAGAACGGGGUCAUCAACCAGUUUUCCCAGCGCUGGACCCACUUCAUUGACCCUCAGAGCCAGGCCAACAAAUGGAUCAAGAACAUGGAGAAGGACAAUGGGCUGGAUGUGUUCAAGUUGAGUGACCGCGACUUCCUGCGCAGCAUGGAGAACGCCAUCCGCUUUGGCAAGCCAUGUCUCCUGGAGAACGUGGGCGAGGAGCUAGACCCAGCCCUGGAGCCGGUGCUGCUCAAGCAGACGUACAAGCAGCAGGGAAACACGGUGCUGAAGCUGGGGGACACGGUGAUCCCCUACCAUGAGGACUUCAGGAUGUACAUCACCACCAAGCUGCCCAACCCACACUACACGCCCGAGAUCUCCACCAAACUCACCCUCAUCAACUUCACCCUGUCGCCCAGUGGCCUAGAGGACCAGCUACUGGGCCAGGUAGUGGCAGAGGAGCGACCCGACCUGGAGGAGGCCAAGAACCAGCUGAUUAUCAGUAAUGCCAAGAUGCGCCAGGAGCUGAAGGACAUUGAGGACCAAAUCCUGUACCGGCUCAGCUCCUCCGAGGGCAACCCUGUAGAUGACAUGGAACUCAUCAAGGUGCUGGAAGCCUCCAAGAUGAAGGCUGCUGAGAUCCAGGCCAAAGUCAGAAUUGCAGAGCAGACGGAGAAGGACAUCGACCUGACGCGCAUGGAGUACAUACCCGUGGCCGUCCGCACCCAGAUCCUCUUCUUCUGUGUGUCCGACCUGGCCAACGUGGACCCCAUGUACCAGUACUCCCUCGAGUGGUUUCUCAACAUCUUCCUCUCGGGCAUCGCCAACUCAGAGAGAGCAGAAAACCUGAAGAAGCGCAUCUCCAACAUCAACCGCUACCUGACCUACAGCCUCUACAGCAACGUCUGCCGCAGCCUCUUUGAGAAGCACAAGCUGAUGUUUGCCUUCCUGCUGUGUGUUCGCAUCAUGAUGAACGAGGGCAAAAUCAACCAGAGUGAGUGGCGAUACCUCCUGUCCGGGGGCUCCAUCUCGAUCAUGACUGAGAAUCCGGCACCGGACUGGCUGUCAGACCGGGCUUGGCGAGACAUCCUAGCACUCUCGAACCUGCCAACCUUUUCCUCCUUCUCUUCCGACUUCGUGAAGCACCUCUCAGAAUUCCGGGUCAUCUUCGACAGCCUUGAGCCCCACCGGGAGCCUUUGCCUGGCAUCUGGGACCAGUACCUAGACCAGUUCCAGAAGCUGCUAGUCCUCCGCUGCCUGCGUGGGGACAAGGUUACCAACGCCAUGCAGGACUUUGUGGCCACCAACCUGGAGCCACGCUUCAUUGAGCCCCAGACAGCCAAUCUGUCAGUGGUGUUCAAAGACUCCAACUCCACCACACCCCUCAUCUUUGUGCUGUCACCCGGCACAGACCCUGCUGCCGACCUCUACAAGUUUGCCGAAGAAAUGAAGUUCUCCAAAAAGCUCUCUGCCAUCUCCCUGGGCCAGGGGCAGGUCAGGGCUAGGCAGGGAGGAAGGGAGUGGGCUGGGGGGUGGGCAAGCUGGCCCCCUGCUCAGUGCUCUUGCCCCUGCAGGGCCCUCGGGCAGAAGCCAUGAUGCUCAGCUCCAUAGAGAGGGGCAAAUGGGUCUUCUUCCAGAACUGCCACCUGGCACCAAGCUGGAUGCCAGCCCUAGAACGCCUCAUCGAGCACAUCAACCCCGACAAGGUACACAGGGACUUCCGCCUCUGGCUCACCAGCCUGCCCAGCAACAAGUUCCCAGUGUCCAUCCUGCAGAACGGCUCCAAGAUGACCAUUGAGCCGCCACGCGGUGUCAAGGCCAACCUGCUGAAGUCCUAUAGUAGCCUUGGUGAAGACUUCCUCAACUCCUGCCACAAGGUGAGGCACACUUGGUGCAGGCCUACCCUACCUGCCCCUGUCCCCGCUCCUCACCUCCCCUGCCUCCCACGUCCCCCAGGUGAUGGAGUUCAAGUCUCUGCUGCUAUCUCUGUGCUUGUUCCAUGGGAACGCCCUGGAGCGCCGUAAGUUUGGGCCCCUGGGCUUCAACAUCCCCUAUGAGUUCACGGAUGGAGAUCUGCGCAUCUGCAUCAGCCAGCUCAAGAUGUUCCUGGACGAAUAUGAUGACAUCCCCUACAAGGUGGGCCUGGGGCAGACUGGGGCCUGGGGGACUGGGCACUUAGGGGAGCCCUCACCCACCCACCCCAUAGGUCCUCAAGUACACGGCAGGGGAGAUCAAUUACGGGGGCCGUGUCACUGAUGACUGGGACCGGCGCUGCAUCAUGAACAUCCUGGAGGACUUCUACAACCCUGACGUGCUCUCCCCUGAGCACAGCUACAGCGCCUCGGGCAUCUACCACCAGCUCCCGCCUACCUACGACCUCCACGGCUACCUCUCCUACAUCAAGAGCCUCCCACUCAAUGAUAUGCCUGAGAUCUUUGGCCUGCAUGACAAUGCCAACAUCACCUUUGCCCAGAACGAGACGUUCGCCCUCCUGGGCACCAUCAUCCAGCUGCAACCCAAAUCAUCUUCUGCAGGCAGCCAGGGCCGGGAGGAGAUAGUGGAGGACGUCACCCAAAACAUUCUGCUCAAGGUGCCUGAGCCUAUCAACUUGCAAUGGGUGAUGGCCAAGUACCCAGUGCUGUAUGAGGAAUCAAUGAACACAGUGCUAGUACAAGAGGUCAUUAGGUACAAUCGGCUGCUGCAGGUGAUCACACAGACACUGCAAGACCUACUCAAGGCACUCAAGGGGCUGGUAGUGAUGUCCUCUCAGCUGGAGCUGAUGGCUGCCAGCCUGUACAACAAUACUGUGCCUGAGCUCUGGAGUGCCAAGGCCUACCCAUCGCUCAAGCCUCUGUCAUCAUGGGUCAUGGACCUGCUGCAACGCCUGGACUUUCUGCAGGCCUGGAUCCAAGAUGGCAUCCCAGCUGUCUUCUGGAUCAGUGGCUUCUUCUUCCCCCAGGCUUUCUUAACAGGCACUCUGCAGAAUUUUGCCCGCAAAUUUGUCAUCUCCAUUGACACCAUCUCCUUUGAUUUCAAGGUGCCCGCUGGGAUCCAGAGGCCUUCCAGCUGGCUGAAUCUCAGCCCAAGGAGCUGUACACAGAGAUGGCCGUUAUCUGGCUCUUGCCAACACCCAACCGCAAGGCCCAGGACCAGGACUUUUACCUGUGCCCCAUCUACAAGACACUGACUCGUGCUGGAACACUAUCAACCACAGGACACUCUACCAACUAUAUCAUUGCUGUGGAGAUCCCCACCCAUCAGCCCCAGCGACACUGGAUAAAGCGUGGUGUGGCCCUCAUCUGUGCCCUGGACUACUAGACUCAGACAGAAGGGCUGGGGCCAUUAAAGUUGAAUUUUCU